RNAcentral lists this ribosomal RNA (464 nucleotides) under uncultured bacterium. Its description in RNAcentral is "bacterial SSU rRNA". It matches the Rfam family "Bacterial small subunit ribosomal RNA", at positions 338 to 795 of the family's 1533-position model. The record is from RNAcentral.
CCUACGGGUGGCACCAGUGGGGAAUAUUGCACAAUGGGCGCGAGCCUGAUGCAGCCAUGCCGCGUGUAUGAAGAAGGCCUUCGGGUUGUAAAGUACUUUCAGCGGGGAGGAAGGCGAUAAGGUUAAUAACCUUGUCGAUUGACGUUACCCGCAGAAGAAGCACCGGCUAACUCCGUGCCAGCAGCCGCGGUAAUACGGAGGGUGCAAGCGUUAUCGGAAUUACUGGGCGUAAAGCGCACGCAGGCGGUCUAUCAAGUCGGAUGUGAAAUCCCCGGGCUCAACCUGGGAACUGCAUUCGAAACUGGCAGGUUAGAGUCUCGUAGAGGGGGGUAGGAUUCCAGGUGUAGCGGUGAAAUGCGUAGGGAUCUGGAGGAAUACCGGUGGCGAAGGCGGCCCCCUGGACAAAGACUGACGCUCAGGUGCGAAAGCGUGGGGAGCAAACAGGAUUAGAUACCCCAGUAGUC